GAUCCUGGCUCAGGAUGAACGCUAGCUACAGGCUUAACACAUGCAAGUCGAGGGGCAGGCAUGGUCUUAGCUUGCUAAGGCCGAUGGCGACCGGCGCACGGGUGAGGUAACACGUAUCCAACCUGCCGUCUACUCUUGGACAGCCUUCUGAAAGGAAAAUUAAUACAAGAUGGCAUCAUGAGUUCACAUGUUCACAUGAUUAAAGGUAUUCCGGUAGACGAUGGGGAUGCGG
This 232-nucleotide ribosomal RNA is filed under the name uncultured bacterium. Its description in RNAcentral is "partial 16S ribosomal RNA". It matches the Rfam family "Bacterial small subunit ribosomal RNA", at positions 15 to 236 of the family's 1533-position model. The record is from RNAcentral.